Molecule: ribosomal RNA, 432 nt
Filed under: uncultured bacterium
Lineage: Bacteria
Description: partial 16S ribosomal RNA
Rfam family: Bacterial small subunit ribosomal RNA
Source: RNAcentral
ACGAACGCUGGCGGCAGGCCUCACCCAUGCCAGUCGAGCGCGCCCUUCGGGGUGAGCGGCGGACGGGUGAGUAACGCGUGGGAACGUGCCCUUUUCUACGGAAUAGCCUCGGGAAACUGAGAGUAAUACCGUAUACGCCCUUUGGGGGAAAGAUUUAUCGGAAAAGGAUCGGCCCGCGUUGGAUUAGGUAGUUGGUGGGGUAAUGGCCUACCAAGCCGACGAUCCAUAGCUGGUUUGAGAGGAUGAUCAGCCACACUGGGACUGAGACACGGCCCAGACUCCUACGGGAGGCAGCAGUGGGGAAUCUUAGACAAUGGGGGCAACCCUGAUCUAGCCAUGCCGCGUGAGUGAUGAAGGCCUUAGGGUUGUAAAGCUCUUUCAGCUGGGAAGAUAAUGACGGUACCAGCAGAAGAAGCCCCGGCUAACUCCGUG